AGGGUAAUAGUUAAUAAUAACAUUUGGGUUGCAUUCAAAAAGUACUAAACAUUUAGUUUACCUUA
Molecule: transfer RNA, 65 nt
Filed under: Paranauphoeta circumdata
Lineage: Eukaryota; Metazoa; Arthropoda; Insecta; Blattodea; Blaberidae
Description: tRNA-Ala
Source: RNAcentral